GAUGAACGCUGGCGGCGUGCCUAAUACAUGCAAGUCGAGCGAACAGACGAGGAGCUUGCUCCUCUGACGUUAGCGGCGGACGGGUGAGUAACACGUGGAUAACCUACCUAUAAGACUGGGAUAACUUCGGGAAACCGGAGCUAAUACCGGAUAAUAUAUUGAACCGCAGGGUUCAAUAGUGAAAGACGGUUUUGCUGGCACUUAUAGAUGGAUCCGCGCCGCAUUAGCUAGUUGGUAAGGUAACGGCUUACCAAGGCAACGAUGCGUUGCCGACCUGAGAGGGUGAUCGGCCACACUGGAACUGAGACACGGUCCAGACUCCUACGGGAGGCAGCAGUAGGGAAUCUUCCGCAAUGGGCGAAAGCUUGACGGAGCGACGCCGCGUGAGUGAUGAAGGUCUUCGGAUCGUAAAGCUCUGUUAUUAGGGAAGAACAAAUGUGUAAGUAACUAUGCACGUCUUGACGGUACCUAAUCAGAAAGCCACGGCUAACUACGUG
RNAcentral lists this ribosomal RNA (497 nucleotides) under uncultured bacterium. RNAcentral's name for it is "partial 16S ribosomal RNA". It matches the Rfam family "Bacterial small subunit ribosomal RNA", at positions 28 to 507 of the family's 1533-position model. The record is from RNAcentral.